GAUGAAGAACGCAGCGAAAUGCGAUACGUAAUGUGAAUUGCAGAAUUCCGUGAAUCAUCGAGUCUUUGAACGCACAUUGCGCCCCCUGGUAUUCCGGGGGGCAUGCCUGUCCGAGCGUCAUUGCUGCCCUCAAGCACGGCUUGUGUGUUGGGCCUCCGUCCUCCUCCCGGGGGACGGGCCCGAAAGGCAGCGGCGGCACCGCGUCCGGUCCUCGAGCGUAUGGGGCUUCGUCACCCGCUCUUGUAGGCCCGGCCGGCGCUUGCCGACACAUCAAUCUUUUUUCCAGGUUGACCUCGGAUCAGGUAGGGAUACCCGCUGAACUUAAGCAUAUCAAUAAGCGGAGGA
This 345-nucleotide unclassified non-coding RNA is filed under the name soil metagenome. RNAcentral describes it as "partial contains 5.8S ribosomal RNA, internal transcribed spacer 2, and large subunit ribosomal RNA". The stretch from base 1 to 120 matches the Rfam family "5.8S ribosomal RNA", at positions 35 to 154 of the family's 154-position model. The record is from RNAcentral.